RNAcentral lists this ribosomal RNA (462 nucleotides) under Triticum aestivum (bread wheat). Its description in RNAcentral is "partial small subunit ribosomal RNA". Lineage: Eukaryota; Viridiplantae; Streptophyta; Magnoliopsida; Poales; Poaceae. The record is from RNAcentral.
AUGGGCAAGCACGCGCCGUCCAAGUCCAACCGCGAGGUGGUAGAGUCCCUGUACGCUUCCCUGGCCCGUGGUGACGCGGCGGCCGUGACGGCACUGCUGGCAACGGACCUGGACUGGUGGUUCCAUGGGCCGCGCCGGUGCCAACACAUGCGACGCAUGCUGACCGGCGAGGCGGCGGGUGCUGCAGCGUUUCGGUUCGCGCCAACACGGGUUUCGGAGGUCGGCGGCACCAUGGAUGGUCGGUGGGUUGUGGCGGAGGGGUGGACCGGCGAGCACGACUACUGGGUGCAUGUGUGGUGCCUCCGUGGCGGCGUCAUCAUCAGCUUCCGUGAGUACUUCAACACGUCUGUCACCGUCAGGAAUCUAGGCCAGACGGCUGAGGACGUGGUGUGGGCCAUAUGGGAGAGCCAAUCGUCCAGACCCAAGAGCCGCUCCAUGCCAGGCCUAGUGCUCGCCAUUUGA